RNAcentral lists this RNase P RNA (357 nucleotides) under Tannerellaceae bacterium. RNAcentral describes it as "RNase P RNA component class A". It matches the Rfam family "Bacterial RNase P class A". From Rfam's summary of the family: Ribonuclease P (RNase P) is a ubiquitous endoribonuclease, found in archaea, bacteria and eukarya as well as chloroplasts and mitochondria. Its best characterised activity is the generation of mature 5'-ends of tRNAs by cleaving the 5'-leader elements of precursor-tRNAs. The record is from RNAcentral. Lineage: Bacteria; Pseudomonadati; Bacteroidota; Bacteroidia; Bacteroidales; Tannerellaceae.
GCAGUUUGUCGGUCUGUCGCUCGUCUUUCGGGAUGAGAGGAAAGUCCGGGCAACACAGAGCACCAUACUUCCUAACGGGAAGCUGUUCGCAAGGGCAGAGUAACGUAACAGAAAAUAACCGCCCCGCCUAAACGGGGUAAGGGUGAAAAGGUGAGGUAAAAGCUCACCGGGUUCCGUGGCGAUGCGGAAUGCCGUACGUCUUAUGGGUUGUAAGGUCAUGUAAACCGGCGCUUAGGGUUGCUCGCCCGAUGUCGGAGGGUAGACCGCUAAAGCUUUCCGGCGACGGCAAGCGUAGAUAAAUGGCAGACGCUUUCUUCAGGGAAAGAACAGAACCCGGCUUACAGACAAACUGCUUUU